RNAcentral lists this ribosomal RNA (603 nucleotides) under uncultured fungus. RNAcentral's name for it is "eukaryotic LSU rRNA". It matches the Rfam family "Eukaryotic large subunit ribosomal RNA", at positions 23 to 641 of the family's 3401-position model. The record is from RNAcentral. Lineage: Eukaryota; Fungi.
ACCCGCUGAACUUAAGCAUAUCAAUAAGCGGAGGAAAAGAAACCAACAGGGAUUGCCCUAGUAACGGCGAGUGAAGCGGCAACAGCUCAAAUUUGAAAUCUGGCUCUUUUAGAGUCCGAGUUGUAAUUUGCAGAGGGCGCUUUGGCUUUGGCAGCGGUCCAAGUUCCUUGGAACAGGACGUCACAGAGGGUGAGAAUCCCGUACGUGGUCGCUGGCUAUUGCCGUGUAAAGCCCCUUCGACGAGUCGAGUUGUUUGGGAAUGCAGCUCUAAAUGGGAGGUACGUUUCUUCUAAAGCUAAAUAUUGGCCAGAGACCGAUAGCGCACAAGUAGAGUGAUCGAAAGAUGAAAAGCACUUUGGAAAGAGAGUCAAACAGCACGUGAAAUUGUUGAAAGGGAAGCGCUUGCAGCCAGACUUGCUUACAGUUGCUCAUCCGGGCUUUUGCCCGGUGCACUCUUCUGUAGGCAGGCCAGCAUCAGUUUGGGCGGUAGGAUAAAGGUCUCUGUCACGUACCUCUCUUCGGGGAGGCCUUAUAGGGGAGACGACAUACUACCAGCCUGGACUGAGGUCCGCGCAUCUGCUAGGAUGCUGGCGUAAUGGCUGU